This is a long non-coding RNA of Carassius auratus (goldfish), 3456 nucleotides long. RefSeq lists it as uncharacterized. The transcript has 2 exons. The record is from RefSeq and is a predicted model, not a curated record. Lineage: Eukaryota; Metazoa; Chordata; Actinopteri; Cypriniformes; Cyprinidae.
UCGCUUCGAAUCAUCGAUUGUGCAAACGGCGGUUGGUUUGAAGCAUUAAUAAACUUUAUUUAUAUUCAGGUAAAACAACAAUUAACAACAUUUACAGAAGGACAUUACAUCUUCCAUAAUAACAUUACAUACAGGUUUCUAACAAAUAAUGCAAUUCCUACUCUAAUAUAGUCGUUCAUUAUAAAGUGACAAGUUACACAUCUAGGCUCCAGAACUGCUUGUCGAAAGUCUGCAUUAUUUCAGUGCAUCUUACAAAAAAAAAAAAAUAAUAAUAGAUAUAGGCAAGUGAAGCGAAAACACAGAUUCAGUGUUCAGCACAGCGGAUGCAUGUCCAACCUCCACACGCCUGUUUCCCAACGAGAAUAUGAAUCAGUCUAGGGUGCGUUUGUGAGCCUGAACACGGAAUAUAUACUGUAUAUACAGCCUAGUAUAUAACAAAGAUUACAAAAAGAGUAAAUAUUCACAGAUGAAUUGAGAAUAAUAUGGUAUUAUUGACAGCACAUUCCAUAGCAGAGCAAACCGGGAAUCUAAAGCUGUUCCCUUUUCAUGGUAUAUUUACAUUUAUCUAUCUAUCAAUUUUAUAACUAUGGAAGCCCCUUUCUGCUGCUAAAUGAAAAAUUUUAAAAUGUUAAUCGCGAUUUUUUUUAUUUCGCAUAUAAAUUCACAAUUGCGAGAAAAUAGUACAAAUUGGCAGAUACAAAUUUGCACUUGGAUCGUAAUUUUCAGAAUUCGCAAUCGUGAGAAAAAGCCAGAAUUGCGAGAUUUAAACUCACUAAAUUCGCAAUCCUGAGAAAUAACGUUGCAAUUCUAAGAAAAAUUCAGAACUGCAAGAUAAUAAACUCUUUUGAUCGAAUUUUAUAAUUAUGAUAUAUAAACACAAUUUUAAGAAAAUCUUUUUUUUUUCCCUCAGAAUUGGAUGUUUUGACGUAUUUCUAAAACUGAUAAAAGUCGGAAUUGCGACAUAAACUGUGAGGGAAAAAAAGUCAGAAUUCCAAGUUUUUAUCUCAGAAUUCUGACUUUAUAACUCGCAAUUGCAAAUUUAUAUCAUGCAAUUCUGAAAGAAAAGAAAAGUCAGAAUUGUGAGAAAGAGUCAUAAUUACCUUGUUUUAUUUUUAAUUCAAUGGCAGAAACGGGCUUCCAUAAAUACUUUGAAGCAAGCGCCAAUGAUUAUGCAAACAUGAUGUCUCCUCUUUUUUGUGUUUGUCACAGUGCUAAAUGUGCAAUAAUCAUUUAUUAUUACUUUUCUCCAACCCUUUUUCUUGCAAAAAAAGGAGACUCUACACACCUUAAAGUGACGAUAAAAUACAGCAUGCUGCAUGUAAAACUGCGACCGCCACAAAGACGGGAGGAGCUCUUACAUGUUUCAAGAAAAUAAUUAUUGGGCUGCUAAUACUGGCUGGAAUCCUUUAAUGUGUGGAGGCAUUAAUGCGGCUUCACGUUUCGAUAGAAUCACAGCCAGCUUCAUAGUCGCAACACUAAAAAAGUCUCUUCAUUUCUGAUAAUAUGUAAUUAUAAACUGGUUAGUUGAAUAAAGGCCACAUUCACACUGCAGAAUGAUACGGGUGUCACUCCUUUUCACAUGCACUGCAAAACAAUAUGUUGCUUAUUCUGUAUUUUUGUUUUCCAGUAAAGUACAAGAAGCAAAAUUUAAAAGAUAUAUAAUUCAUAUAUAUACAUGCAUGUAUAAGCUACAUGCUAAACGAUAAAAAGGUAAUUGCGCAAUUUUCUCUCACAAUUUUGUUAAUUCUGAUUAAAAGUUACAAUUGUGACUCAGAAUUACGAGACAUAAUCUUUCUCACAAUUCUGACUUUUAUACUUUACUUUAGAUUUCUAAUAUAUACUAUCAUAGUUAAAAAGUCGCAAUUCUGAGUUUAUAUCUCGCAAUUGACAUUCUCUGAGAAUUGCGAGAAAAAUGGCAGACGUGUGAGAUAAAAGUUGCAAAUGCCUUUUAGUAAGAAAAAAUAAAACAAUUCAAAGGGAAAACAAGUUUAUUUUUUUUACCUCACUGAUGUUUUUUUCUUUCGUUUUACGCAAAAAACACAUUAUUUUGUUAAUUUGUACAGAAAACAAUUUUUAAAGACAUCUUUAUGCAUCUCAGAUAAAUGUAUAUUGAUUUUAGAAUGUUUCGAUAUUUGCACUGGAAAACAAGAAAAUUUUAUUUUAUUUUAUUUUUUUGCAGUGUAGAACAUUGAAUUUACUAAUUUGCACCAAUUUUGUUUAGUGCAUGUUUACUGUAACUGAAUCUGCCUAAAACCUUUAGUGAAUUGGGUGUUAAAAACAUCAAUAUGUCUUCUUUUCCUAAAAUUUCUUUAGUUCAAAAAAGCAAACACAAUGUUGCUAUGAUUAUCACUAUAUCAGCCAAAUAAAAUUUAGGAUUAAGAGUGAAAAUCAGGUUAUGCAGUGUGUACGUGGCCUGACUGAAAAUUCAAGUGUAAAACAUGACCUUAUUAGCAGGAAUGUUGCGCAAACACAUUGAAAACUGCAUUCGCAGUAAGUCCAUAAAUCUCUUUAACUAGUCCUCUGGAUGUUAGUCACAACAUUAUGACUAAAGCUGAAUCAAGAACUUAAUUUUGCACAAAUAUUAAUUGAAUAAUUUGUACCGUAUAUUAACUGCAAAGGCAUGAUGUGUCACUGGACGUCAUGCACGUCUGUACACGUGUGUUAUCUGAACUCAUUUGACUUCUUUAUUCGAUCCGUGUUAACAGUGCAGAGCCAAACAUUGCUAUUGUUCAAUUAGCUCCUACACUUAUAGAAAGUAAACUUCAUCGAUAUUUAACAACAUAUUGACAGAAAGAGAAAAUACCGUACCCAAAUGAAGAUUAUAUUAUUAUCGUCUGUUGUACGGAAACCAAAUGGACAAACAUGAGCAGGAAGAGCGGUAUCAGUAUUCAAAUAUGCAGGUUAGGAGAGUAGUGCACUAUGGGAAAUUUCUUCAGAUCAAAUUCCUUCUCUAAAGGAUGCUUGAGAAAUGCGUAAGCUUCAUCAACAACACUUCAGUUUGAAAUGUUAAAGGCCGUUCGCAUAAUGCAUACUUGCAUUUAUAAACGGCUAGAAAAAAAUUAUUUAUGUUCCAAUUUGACCCACAACACAGUUGUGUUACUGGUUAAGCUGAAAUCAUGUGACUAUUUCUCAAUUAGGUUCAUGAAAGUUUUGAGACUGGUGUGUUGUGGAAUGUGUGUGAAAGUUUUCUGUUUCAAAUUAAAGUGUUCAGACCCAAAAUAAAAAAUAUAUAUGUGUUUUGUUUGGUAUUUGCAUUUAUUAUGCAUUUGGCAGAGACUUCUAUUUCAAGGAACAUACUAAUUUCAAAUACCAAACAAAAUUUCAUUUGUUCAUGCAUAUGAAUUUAGCUGGGAAUCGAACCCAUGAUCGUGCUGUUGCUAGUGCUAUGCUUCUAAAGGUUCAGCUUUAGGAAAGUAUACAAAAUAAGAAACAGAUGAAAUAAAAAAUAAAUACAAU